ACCAAGAUAAAGCAUUCUUAGACAUUUUAAAUGAGUUCCGGAAGGGGCGCAAGGACAUAAAUACAGUCCACAAUCAGAUUUCCAAUCUUCUUGAUGGUCAUGCCAAUUUAAUUGAUGAAUUCACUAGAUUUCUUCCUCUGAAAGCUGAAACUGUUUCAGCAAAGAAAUGAAAUCAAGAGAUUAAGAGAUGAUGGCUCUUCGCCGACCGGUUCUUUAAGUGGAGAUUUCUAUGGGCAAUCCCAAAUCCCAGUAGAUGGUGGUGGUGGUACUCCAAGGAAUUAUACACGGAAUGAUGCCUGGACCUAUCUCAUGGAAGUGAAGGAAACGUUUCAAGACCAAAGAGCGAAA
This is a long non-coding RNA of Quercus lobata, 348 nucleotides long. RefSeq lists it as uncharacterized. The transcript has 5 exons. The record is from RefSeq and is a predicted model, not a curated record. NCBI's taxonomy places the organism in Eukaryota, Viridiplantae, Streptophyta, Magnoliopsida, Fagales, Fagaceae.